This 500-nucleotide ribosomal RNA is filed under the name uncultured bacterium. Its description in RNAcentral is "partial 16S ribosomal RNA". It matches the Rfam family "Bacterial small subunit ribosomal RNA", at positions 28 to 523 of the family's 1533-position model. The record is from RNAcentral.
GAUGAACGCUGGCGGCAGGCUUAACACAUGCAAGUCGAGCGGGGAAAGGUAGCUUGCUACUUAACCUAGCGGCGGACGGGUGAGUAAUGCUUAGGAAUCUGCCUAUUAGUGGGGGACAACAUCUCGAAAGGGAUGCUAAUACCGCAUACGUCCUACGGGAGAAAGCGGGGGCUCUUCGGACCUCGCGCUAACAGAUGAGCCUAGGUCGGAUUAGCUAGUUGGUGGGGUAAUGGCCCACCAAGGCGACGAUCCGUAACUGGUCUGAGAGGAUGAUCAGUCACACUGGAACUGAGACACGGUCCAGACUCCUACGGGAGGCAGCAGUGGGGAAUAUUGGACAAUGGGCGAAAGCCUGAUCCAGCCAUGCCGCGUGUGUGAAGAAGGUCUUCGGAUUGUAAAGCACUUUAAGUCGGGAGGAAGGGCUGUAGGCUAAUACCUUGCAGUUUUGACGUUACCGACAGAAUAAGCACCGGCUAACUUCGUGCCAGCCGCCGCCGUAA